UCGUUUUAUAGCCUUUCGGUGCUUGAAUUCUACUUUCAUUCUCUUUAUCCUUUCUUUUUUGCACUGAUAUCUUUCAAGAAUGGAAUCGAAUUUUUCUCUGCUUCAAUCUUUUGCUUAAUUGGAAUCAUAUCCUUAUCCUUGGAUGUUGGAAGCAGAUGCUCUUAUAGCUUAGACAAAAAGCAAAAUCUAAAGCUGCAAUUGCUGACUUCUUAUUCUCAUUCCCAUAAUUCCUUUCCCUCUGUCACUCCCUCUCUCCUUUUUGUUUUGCUUUGCUUUCUUUUGACUCCAAAUCUCCCGCAUUUAUUGCGGUUCUUGGGUUGUUGGUCUUUUGAAAAGCUUUUGCCCGCUUUCUUGAAUUCACGUAAUGUGCUAGAGUAGUUCUUGUCUCUGUUGAUGAGAGUGUUCCCAAGCUGCAAACAUGGCUAUAGAUGUCUGCUCAGAGAUUUCAAGCGCUGGAAUUAGUCCAAGAAUUUCAUUCUCCCAUGAUCUCAACGAAACUGCAGAUGCUGUAUCCAUUGAAGAUUGCCAUCCUAGAUUAGACUCAUCUCUAUUGGAUUCAGAUUUUGAUUUCUGCAUUAGCAGCAGCUUUAUCCAAGAAUUGUCUUCUGCGGAUGAGCUCUUCUCUAAUGGCAAGAUCCUUCCUAUUGAAAUCAAGAAACAGUUAGUUUCAACUAAAGAUACCGAUCAACCAAAGCCGGUCGCUUCCGGUCGUCCUGUGCAAACUACUACAGAGACUACAGAGAAGAAGAAGCUACUGAAGGAGUUCUUGUCAAUGAGUAUUGAUGCAGAUGAAAAGCCUGCAUCGAAAUCUUUUUGGCAGUUCAAGAGAAGCAAUAGUCUGAAUUGUGAAAGUUCUCGAAGUAAAGGCCUAAUUAGGUCACUACAGUUUCUUUCAAGAAGCAACUCUACAGGGUCAGCUCCAAAUCCUCCAAAACAAGCAGUGUUUUCUAAGGAAACUCCGAAACCACGUUUACAAAAACAACAUUCAGCUCCAAGCAGAAAAUCACCGGCGGCAAGUUCAGGGGCAUUCUACUCUUAUAAUUCAGGGCAGAAACAUCCGCAAUUAAGGAAGUGUGGAUCUUAUGGGAAUGGGGUUAGAAUUAAUCCUGUCUUGAACAUACCACAUCCUUACAUUUCCAGAGGAACUGUGCAUCUUUUUGGUCUUCGUUCUCUGUUCUGUAACGGUAAGGUUAAAAAGAAGAAGAGAUGAUUAUUAAGUUGAGAGUUCCAUUUAUGACUGAAUCUUUUCAAGUACAGAUUUAUUUUAGCAGUCUAUCAUUUUCAUUCAUGGAAGAGCAUGUGAUGAUAUCUGCAAAUCGAAAGAAAAAUUCCACUGAAGAAAUGAUUAGAUCUUGAGAAAGAGAAUCUAAUGCAAAACAUUAAAAUAUGGAAAGUGAAAACUACAGUGGAGGAAUGGAAUUGGCAAUGUUGGAUGAUGGUGAUAGUUUUGUUGAUGCCUAUCAACAUGAUAAGAAAUUGGGAGACAUAUAAACAAGGUGUUUUAAUUUCAUUUGCUACUCCAUAUAUGCCUUGGCUUCUUUUUAUCCUUUUUCAAUUUUUUUCUUGAUCUCAACCAUUUUAAUUAUGGCUCUCUUUUGUUCUUUUCAACUUUGAUUGAGGCUUCUCUUUGUUUUUUUUUUGUAUAUAAAAUAUAAAAGUUCUUCAAUUUG
Molecule: unclassified non-coding RNA, 1670 nt
Filed under: Hevea brasiliensis (rubber tree)
Lineage: Eukaryota; Viridiplantae; Streptophyta; Magnoliopsida; Malpighiales; Euphorbiaceae
Source: RNAcentral